This 370-nucleotide ribosomal RNA is filed under the name uncultured cyanobacterium. Its description in RNAcentral is "bacterial SSU rRNA". It matches the Rfam family "Bacterial small subunit ribosomal RNA", at positions 385 to 770 of the family's 1533-position model. The record is from RNAcentral. Lineage: Bacteria; Bacillati; Cyanobacteriota.
GACGGAGCAAGACCGCGUGAGGGAGGAAGGUCUGUGGAUUGUAAACCUCUUUUCUCAGGGAAGAAGAUCUGACGGUACCUGAGGAAUCAGCAUCGGCUAACUCCGUGCCAGCAGCCGCGGUAAUACGGAGGAUGCAAGCGUUAUCCGGAAUUAUUGGGCGUAAAGCGUCCGUAGGUGGCUUUACAAGUCAGUUGUUAAAACGUGGAGCUUAACUCCAUACAGGCAAUUGAAACUGUGAAGCUAGAGUGCGGUAGGGGUAAGGGGAAUUCCCAGUGUAGCGGUGAAAUGCGUAGAUAUUGGGAAGAACACCGGUGGCGAAAGCGCCUUACUGGACCUGCACUGACACUGAGGGACGAAAGCUAGGGGAGCG